GAGCUGUUGAGGAGUCCUACAACAGGACGAAACGGCCGUUCAGUGU
Molecule: non-coding RNA, 46 nt
Organism: Schistosoma mansoni
Lineage: Eukaryota; Metazoa; Platyhelminthes; Trematoda; Strigeidida; Schistosomatidae
Source: Rfam